RNAcentral lists this ribosomal RNA (989 nucleotides) under human oral metagenome. RNAcentral describes it as "bacterial LSU rRNA". It matches the Rfam family "Bacterial large subunit ribosomal RNA", at positions 1942 to 2925 of the family's 2925-position model. The record is from RNAcentral.
AUAACGGUCCUAAGGUAGCGAAAUUCCUUGUCGGGUAAGUUCCGACCUGCACGAAAGGUGUAACGAUCUGUGCGCUGUCUCGACGGUAGGCCCGGUGAAAUUGUGGUCCUGGUAAAGACGCCAGGUACCCGUGGUGGGACGGAAAGACCCCAUGGAGCUUUACUGUAACUUAGUAUUGAAUUUUGUCCUACGAUGCACAGGAUAGGUGGGAGGCAUUGAGAGUGGGAUUUUGGUUCCAUUUGAGCCGCCGUUGGGAUACCACCCUUUGUAUGAUGAAAUUCUAACCCGGAGGCGUUGAAACACGCGCGGGGACAUUGCUAGGCGGGCAGUUUGACUGGGGCGGUCGCCUCCCAAAGAGUAACGGAGGCGCGCAAAGGUCACCUCAGGGCGAAUGGAAACCGCCCUAAGAGAGCGUAAGCGUAUAAGGUGGCUUGACUGCGAGACUGACGAGUCGAGCAGGGACGAAAGUCGGUGCUAGUGAUCCGGUGGUGCUGAAUGGAAGGGCCAUCGCUCAACGGAUAAAAGCUACCCUGGGGAUAACAGGCUGAUCUCGCCCGAGAGUUCCAAUCGACGGCGUGGUUUGGCACCUCGAUGUCGGCUCAUCGCAUCCUGGGGCUGGAGCAGGUCCCAAGGGUUGGUCUGUUCGCCCAUUAAAGCGGUACGUGAGCUGGGUUUAGAACGUCGUGAGACAGUUCGGUCCCUAUCCACCAUGGGCGUAAGGUAUUUGAGGAGAGCUGUUCCUAGUACGAGAGGACCGGAAUGGACGAACCGCUGGUGUACCGGUUGUGGCGCCAGCUGCAAAAGCCGGGUAGCUAUGUUCGGCCGGGAUAACCGCUGAAAGCAUCUAAGUGGGAAGCCCCCUCCAAGAUGAGAUACCUGACCUUGAGAGAGGAUAAGCGGCCCGCGAGACGAGCGGGAAGAUAGGCCGGGGGUGUAAUCGCUGAGAGGCGUUGAGCUGACCGGUACUAAAGCUGCGAAACUUUAUUCUU